UACGUAUGUCCCGAGCGUUAUCCGGAUUUAUUGGGCGUAAAGCGAGCGCAGACGGUGGUUUAAGUCUGAUGUGAAAGCCCGGAGCUUAACUUCGGAAUGGCAUUUGAAACUGGGUGACUUGAGUGCUGUAGAGGUAAGUGGAAUUCCAUGUGUAGCGGUGAAAUGCGUAGAUAUAUGGAGGAACACCAGUGGCGAAGGCGGCUUACUGGACAAGAACUGACGUUGAGGCGCGAAAGUGUGGGGAGCAAACAGG
Molecule: ribosomal RNA, 253 nt
Filed under: uncultured bacterium
Lineage: Bacteria
Description: partial 16S ribosomal RNA
Rfam family: Bacterial small subunit ribosomal RNA
Source: RNAcentral